UUGCGAAAGCCGGAUUAAUACCGCAUACGCUCUAUGGAGGAAAGCGGGGGACUCGCAAGGGCCUCGCGCUCAAGGGGCGGCCGAUGGCGGAUUAGCUAGUUGGUGGGGUAAAGGCCUACCAAGGCGACGAUCCGUAGCUGGUCUGAGAGGACGACCAGCCACACUGGGACUGAGACACGGCCCAGACUCCUACGGGAGGCAGCAGUGGGGAAUUUUGGACAAUGGGGGCAACCCUGAUCCAGCAAUGCCGCGUGUGUGAAGAAGGCCUUCGGGUUGUAAAGCACUUUUGUCCGGAAAGAAAACCUGCCUGUUAAUACCGGGUGGGGAUGACGGUACCGGAAGAAUAAGCACCGGCUAACUACGUGCCAGCAGCCGCGGUAAUACGUAGGGUGCGAGCGUUAAUCGGAAUUACUGGGCGUAAAGCGUGCGCAGGCGGUUUGCUAAGACCGAUGUGAAAUCCCCGGGCUUAACCUGGGAACUGCAUUGGUGACUGGCAAGCUAGAGUAUGGCA
RNAcentral lists this ribosomal RNA (511 nucleotides) under uncultured Burkholderia sp. RNAcentral's name for it is "bacterial SSU rRNA". It matches the Rfam family "Bacterial small subunit ribosomal RNA", at positions 149 to 653 of the family's 1533-position model. The record is from RNAcentral. Lineage: Bacteria; Pseudomonadati; Pseudomonadota; Betaproteobacteria; Burkholderiales; Burkholderiaceae.